Molecule: ribosomal RNA, 483 nt
Filed under: uncultured bacterium
Lineage: Bacteria
Description: partial 16S ribosomal RNA
Rfam family: Bacterial small subunit ribosomal RNA
Source: RNAcentral
AUUGAACGCUGGCGGCAGGCCUAACACAUGCAAGUCGAGCGGAUGAAGGGAGCUUGCUCCUGGAUUCAGCGGCGGACGGGUGAGUAAUGCCUAGGAAUCUGCCUGGUAGUGGGGGAUAACGUCCGGAAACGGGCGCUAAUACCGCAUACGUCCUGCGGGAGAAAGUGGGGGAUCUUCGGACCUCACGCUAUCAGAUGAGCCUAGGUCGGAUUAGCUAGUUGGUGGGGUAAAGGCCUACCAAGGCGACGAUCCGUAACUGGUCUGAGAGGAUGAUCAGUCACACUGGAACUGAGACACGGUCCAGACUCCUACGGGAGGCAGCAGUGGGGAAUAUUGGACAAUGGGCGAAAGCCUGAUCCAGCCAUGCCGCGUGUGUGAAGAAGGUCUUCGGAUUGUAAAGCACUUUAAGUUGGGAGGAAGGGCAGUAAGUUAAUACCUUGCUGUUUUGACGUUACCAACAGAAUAAGCACCGGCUAACUUCGU